Molecule: long non-coding RNA, 4192 nt
Filed under: Sorghum bicolor (sorghum)
Lineage: Eukaryota; Viridiplantae; Streptophyta; Magnoliopsida; Poales; Poaceae
Description: long non-coding RNA (SBIC_LNC011242)
Source: RNAcentral
AAGAAUAUGGUCCCUGGGUUACCUUUAUUGGAACUAUGUUCCUUUUUAUUUUUGUUUCAAAUUGGUCGGGUGCUCUUUUACCUUGGAAAAUUAUAGAGUUACCCCAUGGGGAAUUAGCAGCGCCUACAAAUGAUAUAAAUACUACCGUUGCUUUAGCUUUACUAACAUCAGCAGCAUAUUUUUAUGCGGGUCUUAGCAAAAAAAGGAUUGAGUUAUUUCGAGAAAUAUAUUAAACCAACCCCAAUCCUUUUACCAAUUAACAUCCUAGAAGAUUUCACAAAACCAUUAUCGCUUAGUUUUUGACUUUUCGGAAAUAUAUUGGCGGAUGAAUUAGUCGUUGUUGUUCUUGUUUCUUUAGUCCCCUUAGUAGUCCCUAUACCGGUCAUGUUUCUUGGAUUAUUUACAAGCGGAGUACGGUUAUCGAUCCUAAAUCACCCACACUCUCUAUAGUGUCUUGGGUGCAAACCGAAAAGCCCUAUUGCAAACCUUUGCCUUGAAUCCGCUUUUUGUUUUCCUCUUUCUUCCUUGCUUGGAGCUUGAUCUCUCAUCUUGAUCUCCACUUUGCUCCACAUCUCCUCGGACCAAUCCAUGUAUCAUGAAACACUUAGCAAACAUGAUUAGUCCUAAUGGUCCCAUUCAAUUACCAAAACCAAACUAAGGCUUUCAAAAGGCAGCUGUAGGCCCGAGUGAGGAGAGAGAAGGACGGGGGCCGCUCGAUGCCCACCAUGGCCGCUCGCGGACACAGAGCCUCACCUUGUAGGCACGCAGGCCGAGUGGCCGACCCGUCGGUAGUCUUGGCACCAUUAUAAACCUCAACUCGCAAGCCACAUCCCAAAGUGAUAGAGACCCAAAGGAGAGAUAGACCCGAACCAAAAUCAUUGACACUGCCUCUGCUUCCAGCCUUCCUCCACUACCGGUGCUUACCUGCUGGCCGGUGGCCGCCGGUGAGGGUGGUGCGGCUGGUAACUCUUCCGUCCAUUGUAGCUCGCGGCCGUCAUAUGAUUGAGAAUCCUCCUAAAGGAUUGCAAUUAAGUUUCGCAAUAGUUCCGGGGCCACCUCGCCGACGUCCUCAAGCUCGGCCACCAUAGCCAACCGUCGUCGGCGCCAUUACGGGAGAGGGCGGGCGGAGCUCUAGGCCUCAGGAAGCUCCGCCGUCGCUGGCCCGAGCUCGAGGCUGCGGGAAGUCGGCCGCCGCCGCUGCCCUAGGCCCGCGCAGGCCGGCCGGCGCUGCCCGCCGCUUGUCCUGGCCGGCGGAGAGGGCAGAGCACAGGAGGAGCACGUGUACUGCCCGCUCGAGCUCCACGGACGCCGGAUCCAUGUCGGCGGUGGCAAGGACGGGGCCGGGGGCGUCCCGGGUCGGGCGGCUCGCCUCGCCUCACCCAUGGCGGUGGGCGAGCGUGGUUUUGGCGCGGUGGCCUGGGGUGGAGGCAGGGUCGUGGCGUCCGGGGGACGAGGCAGGGUGCGGCGUGCAGGGAAGAAUGGGAGGGGGCUGGGUGGCGGGGGAAGGGAGGGGGCGGCGGCGCCGGUGGAGUGGGGAGGGGCGGCGGCGCCGGUGAUUUAGGGGAUGGGGAGUGAGUGCGGGCGCAAUGUUCUUUCUGGUUAUAUACUUUUCCUAUCAAUCAUAGUUAGUACACAUGGAGGGUUGAACAUAGCACACAUGGAGGGUUGAUACAACGGUGCGGUGGUGGCAACAAGAACGGUACGGUGGCGAGGACAAGAACGGUGCGGUGGCGAGAUCAGCGCCUCAUCCAUCCCAUGUUGUAUGCGACGGUGCGGUGGCGAGACCACUUCUUUUUGUUAUCCUCCCUGAGCUUCGCUCUGGACGUGCUCCAUCGACAGCCACCGGGACGCCUUCUUGCCGGGGCAGACGGGGCACCGGUAGGAAUUGUAGUGCGGGUGAUACCAGACCCGCAGGUUCGGGGCCCUGUGGACCGACACCUCGUAGCCGUGGAAGACGUCGCCCUCCUCGUCGGUGCUGACGUCCGAGCCGCUGUCGUCGUCGUCCGACGGCGGCGGAGAUUUGACCAACCAUAUAUAUAGAGGACUUCAAGAUGAAUCUAAAUGGAGCUGCUACAACAUCCAAGCCAUACAAACUCCCAUGAAAGAUAUUCAAUAUGCUUUUCGUCCACCAGCGGGAGGGCCUCUGUUGGCUCUGGGUUCUGCACUGCAGGAGAACUGGAGGAAUCCUAGGCGAUGAUAUGGGCCUUGGCAAGACGAUGUAGGUUUCAGAGGUUUGUCCCCAGUCGCCGUCGGACUCACCUGCGCCCAUGGGGCUCUUCGCGCCGUGCUACGCAGCACAGACAUCCUCAGCCUUAAGUUCCAUAUAAACUUAGGUACUGAUUGGUUCUAUGAUAACAAUGUUAACAUAUUUACGAAGAAUUUAGGGAACAAAGGGAAGUAUUAUAUUUGGUUCGCGUGAGAAAAUUGAUUAUUCACGCACUGUCACGAGCGAUAGAUGGAUGACGCUACAAAAUGAGAAAACAAAAAACAUCCUAAUAGGUCAUUUUAUAUUAUUAAAUAUGUCAUGGUCUUCAUAAAAUAAAUUUUAGAGUUCAAAUUUUAUCAAAAAAAAUAUUUUUUUCCUCUCGUAGCCACACACGGGCAUUUUUGCUAGUAAACUACCUGCUUUAUGCAUAACUAGCAAAGAUACCCGUGCGUUGCUACGGGUGAAUAUAUGCGUCUUGUGAUAUACUGAUAUCACACUAUAAUAUAUCUCUCUAUGUGUCUAUUCUUUAAAAUAUGACUUGAUAUGUAAUUUUUGAUAUCAUAUUUUAAACAAUUAAAUGGGUACCGUAACUGUACUUGAAUUUUAUUAGGUUGUUAGGGUGAUUGAGGGCCUGCUUACCGAGCCCAGCAGCCUGCUUACCGAGCCCACGCGUGGAUCCUCCAUCUCCUGGCCCUCUCCCAGCCGAAACCCUCCCGGGCCCUCCAUCUCUCCCAGCCGAAACCCUAACCCUAUCCUCGACGCCGCUUCUCCCGCGCACGCCCCCGCCGCCUUCCGCCGGAGCUCCUCCUCCCCCACCGGUGACCUCUACCGGACGACGCUCCUCCACCAUGCCGCGCUGGUACGUGGUGUUCGUAGGUUCGAUUCCUGGACUGUACGAAAAUUGGGAGGACGCCAAGGCUGCAGUGGAAGGCUACUCUGGCAACAAGCACUCAUGGUUUCCCUCGCGUGAAGAUGCCCUGGCGGCUUACAAUCAUUUUCAAGCCACAGGCAUAGUGGUUUCUAGGUGAGUCCCCCAAAAGAACCCCAAACUGGAUGUCCGACUGGAUACAUUGAUGUCUAAUAUCGUUUGCAGAUGUGUAACGCCAAAGAAGAUGUUUAAUAUCAUUUGCGGAUGUCUGUUUGCUUAUAUUUCUUAUCAGUGCUUAUUUUGCUUCACAAGUAGGCCAACACUUCUAUUGGCAAAUAGGAGGUUUUCAAAUUCAUGCCCAAGUACUCAUCACUUCUUGGGUCGUAAUUACUAUUUUGCUAGGUUCAGUUAUCAUAGCUGUUCGGAAUCCACAAACCAUCCCGACCGACGGUCAGAAUUUCUUCGAGACUUGAGCAAAACUCAGAUUGGAGAAGAAUAUGGUCCCUGGGUUACCUUUAUUGGAACUAUGUUCCUUUUUAUUUUUGUUUCAAAUUGGUCGGGUGCUCUUUUACCUUGGAAAAUUAUAGAGUUACCCCAUGGGGAAUUAGCAGCGCCUACAAAUGAUAUAAAUACUACCGUUGCUUUAGCUUUACUAACAUCAGCAGCAUAUUUUUAUGCGGGUCUUAGCAAAAAAAGGAUUGAGUUAUUUCGAGAAAUAUAUUAAACCAACCCCAAUCCUUUUACCAAUUAACAUCCUAGAAGAUUUCACAAAACCAUUAUCGCUUAGUUUUCGACUUUUCGGAAAUAUAUUGGCGGAUGAAUUAGUCGUUGUUGUUCUUGUUUCUUUAGUCCCCUUAGUAGUCCCUAUACCGGUCAUGUUUCUUGGAUUAUUUACAAGCGUCAUAUGAUUGAGAAUCCUCCUAAAGGAUUGCAAUUAAGUUUCGCAAUAGUUCCGGGGCCACCUCGCCGACGUCCUCGAGCUCGGCCACCAUAGCCAACCGUCGUCGUCGCCAUUACGGGAGAGGGCGGGCGGAGCUCUAGGCCUCAGGAAGCUCCGCCGUCGCUGGCCCGAGCUCGAGGCUGCGGGAAGUCGGCCGCCGCCGCUGCCCUAGGCCCGC